RNAcentral lists this long non-coding RNA (1456 nucleotides) under Callithrix jacchus (white-tufted-ear marmoset). Its description in RNAcentral is "lncRNA (ENSCJAG00000070024.1)". Lineage: Eukaryota; Metazoa; Chordata; Mammalia; Primates; Cebidae. The record is from RNAcentral.
AUGCCUUAUGACAUCCCCAUGGAACCUUGGGUGAAGGCCCAUACAAGCCCCAUAGCCUUCCAGCUGUGGGACUACAUAUAUACACACUCACUGUCUCACUCACACCGAGGUUAUGGAAAACAACCGAAAACUAAAUUACCGAAGCCUCUCAUGAGGCAACCUGAGCCUCCAGUGACAUCUCACGUCGAAUUAUUUCUUCUGACUGGGCAAGCAUUGAAAUUGCCGAAGACCUGUCUGGAUACACCAUCAGUUAAUCAAGGAACAAACAUGGGUGUAUAACUCCUCUGCAAAGCAAUUGAGGAAAAAACAUAUAAUUAGACUUUCUUUCUACAUCCCUUCACUUCUGGAAAGUGAUGAAAGUACAUGGGAAAGUUGAGAUGUAUAUCUCAGGGGAAAAGGACAAGAGCACAUGUGAAGAUGGUGAGUCAUUUUUUUUUAUUGCUUUCACUUAUGAAACAUCGUUUGUGAGCAGAGCUUGUAAUAUCAUAGCUUGCAGGUUGGAUGUCAGAAAACAUCUCUAAUGAUACUAUUUCUAGAACUCUCUGGAGUAACUAAAAUGUUUGGCUUUAAAUAAUAGAUAACCUGUCCCACCCUACCUUACACAAUUAUGAAACUCAUUAGUGCACAUAGUAGGAGGCCUAGGGUUAACACAGGUCCCAGAUCCACUGUGAACUCUUUUUCUACUUCUGUUCUGCAGUCGACAUUGUUGGCUAUACCUUAAAGCUUGUUCCUCUUUUGUUAAUGGAUAACUGUUAAGAAUAUUGCUUCCUUUUUUUUAUCAUAAGGGAAGUAAAAUCAUUUAGUCUUUUUUUUUUUUUUUUUUGAGAUGUAAUCUUGCUCUGCUGCCCAGGCUGGAGUGCAGUAAUGCAAUCUCGGCUCACUGCAACCUCCACCUCUCCUGCCUCAGCUUUCCAAGUAGUUGAGAUUACAGACACCCAACACCACACCUCGCUAAUUUUUGUAUUUUAAUAGAGAUGGGGUUUCACCAUGUUGGCCAGGCUGGUUUUGAACUCCUGACCUCAAGUGAUUCCCCCACUUCAGCCUCCCAAAAUACUGGAAUUACAGGCAUGAGCCACCACACCCAGCCCAUUUAGUCUUUCUUUAGUGAACAAAGAUUAUGUUUCCUCAGAUCUUGUAGCAAAUUUGCCUUGAAUUUCAUUGGCUAGAAUUUAGGCAAAUGUUUAUUUGUGAACCAAAUAUUGUCAUUAGGAUUAUCUUUAGACCAAUCAGGUGGCCAUCUGAGCUCAGUUUUCCAAAUGGCAUUGCUAUUACUUCAUGUAGCUUUACCACAAUGCCCAUUAAGCUCGUAAUAAUGUCUCAUUAUUAUAUUUGAUUAAUUUCUUUACUUGUAAUCACAAUGCCAUCAUUUCUGUUCUUUCUUACAUGUACGACAUAAAUUUAAAAUACUAGUCAUCUAAACUUCAGAAUUUUGUGGGAGUUUUUAGAUAAUGGCCAA